RNAcentral lists this ribosomal RNA (653 nucleotides) under uncultured bacterium. RNAcentral's name for it is "bacterial SSU rRNA". It matches the Rfam family "Bacterial small subunit ribosomal RNA", at positions 202 to 842 of the family's 1533-position model. The record is from RNAcentral.
AAAAGGUGGCUAUGCUACCGCUUUUGGAUGGGCCCGCGGCGCAUUAGCUAGUUGGUGGGGUAAAGGCUUACCAAGGCAAUGAUGCGUAGCCGAACUGAGAGGUUGAUCGGCCACAUUGGGACUGAGACACGGCCCAAACUCCUACGGGAGGCAGCAGUAGGGAAUCUUCCACAAUGGGCGAAAGCCUGAUGGAGCAACGCCGCGUGGGUGAAGAAGGUCUUCGGAUCGUAAAGCCCUGUUGUUAGAGAAGAAAGUGCGUGAGAGUAACUGUUCACGUUUCGACGGUAUCUAACCAGAAAGCCACGGCUAACUACGUGCCAGCAGCCGCGGUAAUACGUAGGUGGCAAGCGUUAUCCGGAUUUAUUGGGCGUAAAGGGAACGCAGGCGGUCUUUUAAGUCUGAUGUGAAAGCCUUCGGCUUAACCGGAGUAGUGCAUUGGAAACUGGGAGACUUGAGUGCAGAAGAGGAGAGUGGAACUCCAUGUGUAGCGGUGAAAUGCGUAGAUAUAUGGAAGAACACCAGUGGCGAAAGCGGCUCUCUGGUCUGUAACUGACGCUGAGGUUCGAAAGCGUGGGUAGCAAACAGGAUUAGAUACCCUGGUAGUCCACGCCGUAAACGAUGAAUGCUAAGUGUUGGAGGGUUUCCGCCCUUCA